CGAACGCUGGCGGCAUGCCUAACACAUGCAAGUCGAACGAGACCUUCGGGUCUAGUGGCGCACGGGUGCGUAACGCGUGGGAAUCUGCCCUUGGGUUCGGAAUAACAGUUAGAAAUGACUGCUAAUACCGGAUGAUGACUUCGGUCCAAAGAUUUAUCGCCCAAGGAUGAGCCCGCGUAGGAUUAGGUAGUUGGUGGGGUAAAGGCUCACCAAGCCGACGAUCCUUAGCUGGUCUGAGAGGAGAUCAGCCACACUGGGACUGAGACACGGCCCAGACUCCUACGGGAGGCAGCAGUGGGGAAUAUUGGACAAUGGGCGAAAGCCUGAUCCAGCAAUGCCGCGUGAGUGAUGAAGGCCUUAGGGUUGUAAAGCUCUUUUACCCGGGAUGAUAAUGACAGUACCGGGAG
Molecule: ribosomal RNA, 407 nt
Filed under: Sphingomonas sp. OKI-32
Lineage: Bacteria; Pseudomonadati; Pseudomonadota; Alphaproteobacteria; Sphingomonadales; Sphingomonadaceae
Description: bacterial SSU rRNA
Rfam family: Bacterial small subunit ribosomal RNA
Source: RNAcentral